GAUGAACGCUGGCGGCGUGCCUAAUACAUGCAAGUCGAGCGAACAGACGAGGAGCUUGCUCCUUUGACGUUAGCGGCGGACGGGUGAGUAACACGUAGGUAACCUACCUAUAAGACUGGGAUAACUUCGGGAAACCGGAGCUAAUACCGGAUAAUAUUUCGAACCGCAUGGUUCGAUAGUGAAAGAUGGCUUUGCUAUCACUUAUAGAUGGACCUGCGCCGUAUUAGCUAGUUGGUAAGGUAACGGCUUACCAAGGCAACGAUACGUAGCCGACCUGAGAGGGUGAUCGGCCACACUGGAACUGAGGCACGGUCCAGACUCCUACGGGAGGCAGCAGUAGGGAAUCUUCCGCAAUGGGCGAAAGCCUGACGGAGCAACGCCGCGUGAGUGAUGAAGGUCUUCGGAUCGUAAAACUCUGUUAUUAGGGAAGAACAAACGUGUAAGUAACUGUGCACGUCCUGACGGUACCUAAUCAGAAAGCCACGGCUAACUACGUG
Molecule: ribosomal RNA, 497 nt
Filed under: uncultured bacterium
Lineage: Bacteria
Description: partial 16S ribosomal RNA
Rfam family: Bacterial small subunit ribosomal RNA
Source: RNAcentral